Molecule: ribosomal RNA, 456 nt
Filed under: uncultured bacterium
Lineage: Bacteria
Description: bacterial SSU rRNA
Rfam family: Bacterial small subunit ribosomal RNA
Source: RNAcentral
GCAAGUCGAGCGGGCGAGGGUGGUUCGGUAACUGAGCUAGCGGCGGACGGGUGAGUAAUGCUUAGGAAUUUGCCUAUUAGUGGGGGACAACAUUUCGAAAGGAAUGCUAAUACCGCAUACGCCCUACGGGGGAAAGCAGGGGAUCUUCGGACCCUGCGCUAAUAGAUGAGCCUAAGUCAGAUUAGCUAGUUGGUGGGGUAAAGGCCUACCAAGGCGACGAUCUGUAGCGGGUUUGAGAGGAUGAUUCGCCCCCCUGGGACUGAGACCCGGCCCCGACUCCUACGGGAGGCAGCAGUGGGGAAUAUUGGACAAUGGGCGAAAGCCUGAUCCAGCCCUGCCGCGUGUGUGAAGAAGGCCUUUUGGUUGUAAAGCACUUUUAGCGAGGAGGAGGCUACUUAGAUUAAUACUCUAGGAUAGUGGACGUUACUAGCAGAAUAAGCCCCGGCUAACUUUGUG